RNAcentral lists this ribosomal RNA (556 nucleotides) under uncultured bacterium. Its description in RNAcentral is "bacterial SSU rRNA". It matches the Rfam family "Bacterial small subunit ribosomal RNA", at positions 254 to 805 of the family's 1533-position model. The record is from RNAcentral.
GGGGUAACGGCCCACCAAGGCUCCGAUGGGUAGGGGUUCUGAGAGGAAGGUCCCCCACACUGGAACUGAGACACGGUCCAGACUCCUACGGGAGGCAGCAGUGAGGAAUAUUGGUCAAUGGACGCAAGUCUGAACCAGCCAAGUAGCGUGCAGGAUGACGGCCCUCCGGGUUGUAAACUGCUUUUAGUUGGGAAUAAAAGGGGGCUCGUGAGCCCCGUAUUGUAUGUACCAUCAGAAAAAGGACCGGCUAAUUCCGUGCCAGCAGCCGCGGUAAUACGGAAGGUCCGGGCGUUAUCCGGAUUUAUUGGGUUUAAAGGGAGCGUAGGCCGGCUUUUAAGUCAGCUGUGAAAGUCCGCGGCUCAACCGUGGAAUUGCAGUUGAAACUGGAGGCCUUGAGUGCACACAGGGAUGCCGGAAUUCAUGGUGUAGCGGUGAAAUGCUUAGAUAUCAUGAAGAACUCCGAUCGCGAAGGCAAGUGUCCGGGGUGCAACUGACGCUGAGGCUCGAAAGUGCGGGUAUCAAACAGGAUUAGAUACCCUGGUAGUCCGCACCGUAA